RNAcentral lists this unclassified non-coding RNA (277 nucleotides) under Bombus terrestris (buff-tailed bumblebee). RNAcentral describes it as "misc RNA ENSBTSG00005038694.1". Lineage: Eukaryota; Metazoa; Arthropoda; Insecta; Hymenoptera; Apidae. The record is from RNAcentral.
GGAGACAGUCAGCUUCAGUGCCUCCGAUUCGCUAAACGUGGAGUAACGAACCGUUUCAAUCUCUCAGUGCUCUUCAAGCGCUCCUGCAGGCUCAAUCUUACCAUCAGGCGUAACGAUCAGUAGACAGUCCUCUGCGAAGUCUUCAGUUUUGAACGAUAUCUCCCAGCAUACGUGAAGAUAUUAGGAAGUUUAUGUGACAUCAGAGACCAUCGCACCGCUUCAGAGACCAGGUCACACACCGCGGGCAAGAUGACUGCCAGAUGUCUACACAUCCUUA